This 254-nucleotide ribosomal RNA is filed under the name uncultured bacterium. Its description in RNAcentral is "partial 16S ribosomal RNA". It matches the Rfam family "Bacterial small subunit ribosomal RNA", at positions 524 to 776 of the family's 1533-position model. The record is from RNAcentral.
UACGUAGGGGCCUAGCGUUGUCCGGAAUUAUUGGGCGUAAAGGGCGCGUAGGCGGUCAGCACAAGUCAGUUGUGAAAUCUCCGGGCUUAACUCGGAAAGGUCAACUGAUACUGUGCGACUAGAGUGCGGAAGGGGCAACUGGAAUUCUCGGUGUAGCGGUGAAAUGCGUAGAUAUCGAGAGGAACACCUGCGGCGAAGGCGGGUUGCUGGGCCGACACUGACGCUGAUGCGCGAAAGCCAGGGGAGCGAACGGG